Molecule: ribosomal RNA, 465 nt
Filed under: Vreelandella stevensii
Lineage: Bacteria; Pseudomonadati; Pseudomonadota; Gammaproteobacteria; Oceanospirillales; Halomonadaceae
Description: partial 16S ribosomal RNA
Rfam family: Bacterial small subunit ribosomal RNA
Source: RNAcentral
CCUACGGGUGGCAGCAGUGGGGAAUAUUGGACAAUGGGCGAAAGCCUGAUCCAGCCAUGCCGCGUGUGUGAAGAAGGCCUUCGGGUUGUAAAGCACUUUCAGUGGGGAAGAAAGCCUUGGGGCUAAUACCCUCGAGGAAGGACAUCACCCACAGAAGAAGCACCGGCUAACUCCGUGCCAGCAGCCGCGGUAAUACGGAGGGUGCGAGCGUUAAUCGGAAUUACUGGGCGUAAAGCGCGCGUAGGCGGUCUGAUAAGCCGGUUGUGAAAGCCCCGGGCUCAACCUGGGAACGGCAUCCGGAACUGUCAGGCUAGAGUGCAGGAGAGGAAGGCAGAAUUCCCGGUGUAGCGGUGAAAUGCGUAGAGAUCGGGAGGAAUACCAGUGGCGAAGGCGGCCUUCUGGACUGACACUGACGCUGAGGUGCGAAAGCGUGGGUAGCAAACAGGAUUAGAUACCCGGGUAGUC